CAGGGUCAGAAGCAAGGCUGGCCAUGGUGCUCAGGCACAAAUCCCUGUGACUGAGCAGCCUUGUUUCUAGAUCUGAGCCGCUCAUCUGCAUCUGUAACAUGCUGCCCCACACAGCCAGGUCUGGGGGGAUCCAUGGGAUCAGCUGUGGUGGGUUUGGGGACCCGUGUGUGCCUCACAGAGUGUGCUUUGAGGAGAAGGUGAGCUCCUCCUGUCCUGUGCUUGAGGAAGAUAAGAGCAACUACCCAAAGGCUGUGGCAUUUGGGAGGUGACAAGGUUCAGAGCCAAUGCUGAGGAGUCCUAAGGCAUCCCACCUCAGCACAGCUCUUUAUUGUCUGAAGAGCUGUGAGUCUUCAAUAGUUUUCAUCUGAGUGAUAAUUUACAGAUGUAAAUGUGAGGCAAUGUGUGAGUAAGCACUGUGAACAGUGUUGUUCUUGCUGUUUUCUCUGCAGAAACACUCAUGUCAAUCCUUAGAGCCUUUCUUCUGGACAGCCCUGUGAAGAGUUUCAUCAGUGGAGGGUGCCUGGUGCUCUUCCCAGUCGCCAUCCAAGAUGUUGGAGCCACGAGGGCCCUGGAGAGACGCAAAUUCCAAAGAAGAAACAUGUUUUUUGAGGAAGAAAAGCAAACCACAAUCAGCCCUUCAGAAACACCAUUUCCCUUUGAGCUACUGAAGGGUGUGUGAUGCUGUGGCAGACAAAUUGUGUAUUCCAAAAGCAGAGCCCGUCAUGUGACAAAGGAGCAGAUGUCUCUUGGAUGGCUUUCCUCCCUGUGUCACAGUAUCAUUAGGAUAGCUAUGUGCCAGCAACUGCACUUGGCUUUGUCUCCAUUUCAGGGGCGGAAAAGGCAUCAGAGGCUUUUUCCUAGGAAAAGACACACAAAAGAGCACCAAGCUUUGUGCAGGUGAAGCAGAAGGACAGAGCUAGACAGAUGUGUGCACACAUCCCAGAGAGCCACAGAUGUCAUCACACUUUAUUCUUCCCUCAGAAAAAAAAUGGGAGUAUCUGAAAAGCUGGGGAGGAAACCUGUAAUGGGGAGAUCAAAUAUACCUGCUGGUGUGAUUGUCAGGUAGGGGCUGUUCCAGUGAUAAUGUAGUUUGUGGGGGUCCAUGUAUCCAAAAAAAUGCCUUUUUUUUUUUCAUUUUUAACUAUGAAGUUGUUAUUAUCUGUUUUGUCUCUCCCCCGUUUUUCUGGAAGUCUCAGGUCUUUUGCUUGUUUGCUUUCACACACACUGAAACCUGUGCUCUGAAGCUGUCAGAAAACAUCCAUGGGAUGUGCCAUUCCCUCUCAGCUGUGCAGGGAUGCUGCAACCCCACAACAACAUGGAGAUGGAGAGGCUUCAGAAGGACAGGUGGAAGUCAGUGAUGGAUGCUCAUCAAAGGCUCUGAAGAUUUUAAUCAGGGUCCUUUUCCCUGACUGACAGCUAGAACAGCUCUUCUGUGACAUUUGGGGAGGAGGAUUUCAGUGCCUCUCCUCUGGAGCCUUCCCAAACAUCAUGACCCUGCCCAAAGCAACAGGUCACAGUGACUCACCUGUGAAGCCAUGGCAAGGUCUGGCCCCCUCAGCUAAGUGCUCUCCACCUUUUCCUUUUGCAGCACAGCUGAUGCCUUGUGAAGGCUGACCUAGAACAGAGGCUAGAUGGAGUUAAAGAAUAAAGUAGGUAUUUAUUAAAAGGCCUCAAUGGAUGUACCUGGGGCAGCACAAGAGCCCAACCAGGGCUACACCCAAGAUGAGCCAAAAUGGUCACAAAAUCCCUGACUGGACACAGGGUCUCUCACUUUGAUCAGUUCUGCUCCAUUUGCAAAUUGGAGUUAAUUGUCCAAUUACAACUUUAGGCCAUGAAUUCCCAUCCUUCUUGUCUUUCUCUCUUCAUUCCACGUUGUUUAUGCUCUUGGGCCUGGGAUUUGGAUCAUUUGUCCUUGGUCCCCAGCUAGAGAAGGAAUUGUUUUGUCUCCCUAUCCUGUGCAGAGAGCUCACCAUCCCCUAAUAUGAAGCCUAGACUGACACACUAAAGCAGCACAGAAUCUGAAAAAUAUAAAAGCUAAAACCUGAGGCAUCACAACCACAAGGCUGGAGCACAGGUGAGACAACCCUCAAGUGAGCAUUUGCUCUCUCUUGUCCCUUCUCCAGGUGUUCUGAGGACAAAGCUGCCCAGAUCCUGCCCCAGGCCGUCCCAUGCUGGCCUUUAGGAAGUGCAGGGACAAGUUCUGACUAUGCAGCAGGACUUUACCCCUUGAGGGUAAAUGACUGUGAUUUCCUGUUGGUCUGUAGGCAGUUGUCAUGUUUGUUUGGAGAUUAGUAGGGGCUGUGUGCUGGGCCUGAGCCGCAGCCCUGGUGGUAGGCACGGUGUGGGGACACAAGGCCAGGCAGGGCCUCUUAUGAGAAAACAGCAGAAACCUUGGCUUUUUCCUCCUAGCAGCCGAAGAUGGGUGGAAAAAGCUCUCCAUCAGGAUAUCAGGGAGUGCUUGUUCUGACUAAGGAGAGAGAGGAGCUACUUAGGCUAGAGGAAGGCAUUGAUAUACAGAAAGGGUGGGAAUAAAGUAGGAAUUAGAAGCAGGCUUCCAAUAAGUGGGCUAUUCCAGCCUGGGACUGCAUUUCCUGGUGAGGCGGCAGUAACAGGAACUGAAAUGCUUAUUGAGGGCUCAGCUCUUGGAUUUAUCCCACAGGCACAGCAGGAGGGCCCAGGUCACCCCAUUUGUCCUCAUGCUCUGGUUUGGCAGAGCUCGGGCACCAAGCCAGCCAUCUGCACAGCAGCACCGCCCCAGAGACACCUCCCAACGUGUGGGAGGAACAAACAUCCCAAAGAGAGAACACUAUUUUUGGGCCAUGGUCCUUCCAAGUCCUAGCAAAGCUAUGAAAAAUGCUACAAUUUUGGAGGAAGGCAGGAGAGGCCAUGCCAAAUCGGUGCAACUCCCACACGCAGGACAGCAUGAAGUCAAGGCAUGGCAAAGGCUGAAUGUUCCCAGCCCUGGGCCAGCCCCAAGUUCUAUGAAGCAAUAUUUUACUUGCAUUCUCAGAAGCAUCCAGAAUCAACCAGUUUGGCUAGCCCAACCUGGCUGCAUGCAGUCACAGAAGUGUGUUUUGUUUUAUACAACAGCAUUUCCAUGGACAUUCGGUGGUACUGGAGUCUGCUCAGGAGAGCAACAACAUUGAGGUAAUGUCCUUUUGGGCUGCCGUCAGCCGGUGUGGUUCAGCAAACACUGCCGAGAAACUUUCAGGGCUGAGCCUGCUUUGUGCCUGCACUGCCUGGCUUUUAAAAAACACUUUUCCUUGUUGCUGUAGCCAGGAACUCCAUGGUUUUUCUUCAGUGAAGUAAAUUGUGCUGUUGGCCUUUUAAGCUCUGUGUUGUUAAAAGUGAACUUUGCUGAACCUGGCAGGCAACAAGGUUAUUGUUUUCUCAGCGUGAGUGUUUCUAAACAAAUUGGCAUCACAGGCAUAAAGUUCUGGGCAGCUACCAGCCAAGAUCAAUUUGAGAGUCCCAAAGGUUGGGACAUAUUUCCAUUUCAACAGGUAAGAGCUGGAACAUCAUCAGAUAAAAGGCAAGGACUAUUCUCUUCUGGGCUUCAUGCAUCAGGUGGGGAACUCUUGGUGGCACCAUGACUCUCCCAGGCUCCCUGGGCAGCCCUGGCUCUGCAGUCAGACCCUGUGGGGGUACAAAGGAUGUUUGGGUACCUAGAGACAGGAUGGGAUCCUGUGUCUGCUGUCUCUAUUUCCUUCUCCUGUGUAAAUUUUCUGUAACCGUGUCACGUUACACUCGCCUGCAUGUUAGACCACUGCCUGGUUGCAUUUGUUAAUGUUUAGAGCAGCUUCACACCUGUGUGUGCUGCUGCAGUUUGUGUCUCCUGCAGGAUAUCUGUUGCUCUGCGUGGUUUAACACAGGCAUCUGCUUGCUGUCACCUGUGUGCCAUGGCCAUGCAGGGAGGGUGCUUGGGGUGAGUGACACGGCCAAGAGCAGCCUUGGAGAGAGGCUCUAACCCCUAGGAAGGUCAGGCUCUGCAUGUCUGCUUGCUAUGCAUGCUUUCUCCAUCACUGCAUGAAUUCCAGUGAAGAGUGUUCUGCCACUCUUUGUUUGUUUUUAAAUCACAAUGAUAUCUAGAUAACAUUAAAGGAAGGUGUUCUGUGACUUGCAAAGACACUUCUAAUAUUAAGUACUUUUUUUUCUUCUCAAAUGAAAAUAACUCCCGGGAGUCGCUGGUGCUUUGGUGAGGUGGGACCUCCAAGCACUCCAAAGGUGUGACAUGCCUUUGUCACCUCCAUUCACAGCUUCCCAGGCAAGGAAACAAAACCCAUCCUUUGUGGAUGAUCGCUGAUGGCCACGGCUCAAAGCUCCUCACUGCAGCUGCAGGAACCUUUCACACCUUCCAUCAAAGGCAAGGCAGUGCGACCUGAUUUGGCAUCUCAGAGAAGUCAGAGGUGCUGUGCAGGCUGUCCUUGAUGUCCCAGAGAAGUGCAUGCAUCACUGGGGACCACAGCAGCCCUGCCACCGUGCUCAUCCAUCCUCCCAUCCUCCCAGCCUAAGCAAGCACCCACACUCAGCCCUCCCUGGGCUGAGACCCACUUAAACACUGAGAUUGUUUCCUGGGCAGACCCAUCAAGAAAGGAAAUAUCAAAGCCACGUUUAUUUAUUUAUUUAUUUAUUUAUUUAUUUAUUUAUUUAUUUAUUUAUUUUGGUAAUUUGUCUGAUGGUGUGAGACUUGCUGAAGUGGCAUUUUAUUUCCUGGCUGUAGCAGUCCCGUGUUGUGUCUGGAUGCAGAUCCACACAGGAGGCAAGCAGCCCAGGAUGGCAGGGACAUGAAUCCUCAAUUUGGGGCUAAGCCUUGUGGUGUGUCAUUUUUCAGCUGGUUGUUUUAUCUCUCUGUGCUCUGGGAAGGGUAUCUUGACACAGACAGUUUGCAGAGCCAUUUCAGCUGUUCAGACAGCUCAGCCACAAUAUGUUGCCUCAAAUUGUUCUGUCAAGCACAUGCAUCAGCUGUAUUUGCUUGCCUUGAAGCUGUGAAAACCAGAGACCCUCCUGAGAAAAUUUAGCUUCUACAUAGAAAUAAAGAGGUUGACAAUGCUCUCAAAUGUACAAAUGCCACACAAGGCAGUGAGCUGCAAACCUGCCAUGGCCUGUGAAGCUCUUUAAAUUUCAGAUUAAAUCAUUAGCUGCUGCAGUCCCAAAGCCUUGACAUGGAGAAGCUGCAGCCAGAAGGGCUGUGUUGUCCUUCCAAGAUGCCUGCAGUGGCUAAAGGGUGGCUGCUGAGAUCCAUGGGGGCUCAGGGGUGCAGGAGCUGCUGCCAGAAAGGCAGGGACACACAGCAGGGCAUGGUCAGACCAGUUUGGGCUGAUGGGACCUUCCAGUGGGUGCUCAGUGGCACGAGCAUGGGGGAGGGCAGUGGCAGGGGCUGGUUUUGGCUGGCACAUGCCAUGGGGGACCCAGAUCUGGUCAGAGGAGCAGCACUGGGCUGUGGGCACGAGACACAAGGUGAGGUUACCCCUCGGUCACACCAGAGAUGAAUGAUGGAGCAAACCUGUGACACAUCUCUGCUUCGCAGGACAGAAAGAACAAGAC
Molecule: long non-coding RNA, 5544 nt
Organism: Passer domesticus (house sparrow)
Lineage: Eukaryota; Metazoa; Chordata; Aves; Passeriformes; Passeridae
Exons: 3
Source: RefSeq, a predicted model, not a curated record